Manis pentadactyla (Chinese pangolin) is the source of this 1585-nucleotide long non-coding RNA. RefSeq lists it as uncharacterized. The record is from RefSeq and is a predicted model, not a curated record. The transcript is spliced from 4 exons. Lineage: Eukaryota; Metazoa; Chordata; Mammalia; Pholidota; Manidae.
UCCGCCCACCUCCCCUCCGGCUCCCUCUCCCGACUUCUAGCUCUAAGUUCCCGCCUCGGGUAGCCCCUGGGCGGGGCCACAAGCGGGAACGAGCUUCCUUUCCCCACCGCCUGCCCUCGCUGGGCCCCAGGCCACCUCUGGGCGGGGCACUGCCAGCUGUGCGGCGGGGUAAACAAAGAGAGGGGUGCGACGGGGCUAGGGCGGCGGCUCCGCAUUCCGGACCCUUGGGGAGCCCCGCGCCCGCUGAGCCAAAGAAGGCUGGACGUAUCCUGAGAGGGCACUAACCUCCUCUUCUCCCUCGGGGCUGCCGAGAACAGCUGGAGACAGCUGUGCUGUGGGGAAGAAGGGGCAGGCGGCCGGGGCCGUCCAGGAAGGCGUGUGUGGGAUUCUGGGACACACACUGAGGAGAGGAAAGCACAGACGGAGCCCCUUCAGUUUGGAAGGGCCCUCCCCUGCCCUCCUGCCCUUAGCUCCCUGAGGGCUCCCAUACAAGGUGUGGGCCACUAGAUGGGCAAGGACAACUCCAUGCCCCACACCCCUGGAGGAAAGACAAGCUGAGGACAUCGGAGUCCUGCCAAGGCCCAGUGAUUCAGGGUUCCAGGCUCAACAAGCAAAGUCUUCUUGCUCAGAAGCCUGCAGCCUCUGCCUCUCCGAAGACCAGGCUCCCCCUGAGCCGAACCCGCAGACUCUGCUCCCAGAGGCCUCCCCUUUGCUCAUCUCCUUCACACCUGCCCACCGGCCGCGCCUAAAGAAUACUGGACUCCCUUCCCUGCCUGAAUUAAAGGCUUCCAAGAGCACCCUCCCACUGCCAGAAUUGCAGGCUCUCUCCUUAGAGAAUUCCAGUCCCGUCCUUUUCUAGUGGAGAGUGUGCAGGACCGACGGGAACCCCUUCACCCUCCCCGUUGCAGUGAGACACACCAACUGACUCACACAGCCACACGCACACCGUUACUGCCACCUACAGAAAUCCACGCCUCCGUCCAACGCUAACACCCAGAAAUCAGGGCCCACCCACUGUCCAGGGACACACAGCCUCUUGGAACAGUAACGACGACACUCAGGCCUCACUCACGAGCAUUCGUGGGCUGUCUCAGCGCAGUGAUGUAGUGCCCGGCUCUGCCCCAUUAAUGUGCUGUUUUGUGUAGCCCCCGCCGUCUCUGUUAACAUGGCCCUUCAGGACAGCGUACUCGUGCCCCCAUGGCCCCCCCUCCCCAUUACUCUCCCUCCUACCCUGUAGCUGGAGCAUUUGCUGGGGGCGCUGCCGAAAUUUCUCCCUUCUGUCUGGGAUCCAGGGCAUCUUUAAUGCUCGUUGCUAGGCAACAGCCUCUGGCUCACCACGGCAACUUCCGGGGAUGGCGUCGGCUUCCCCUCCUCCCAGAAUUUGGAGUCCCCAGCUCCCAAUCCCUCCCUAGCAGUGCCAUUAUCUCCAAGAGUCGUUUCUAUGGCACUCCUUGGAUCCUGAUCUGAUCUCAACCGUACAGAAUCCCUCAGAGUGCUAGAGCCAUGGCAUUCCAGAAGCUUUCUCCCAUUGUGUGCUCUUAAGCUGUUUUAUCAUCUCUGUGGUGUAAAUAAAGAAACAAAUCUC